Chenopodium quinoa (quinoa) is the source of this 997-nucleotide long non-coding RNA. RefSeq lists it as uncharacterized. The transcript has 4 exons. NCBI's taxonomy places the organism in Eukaryota, Viridiplantae, Streptophyta, Magnoliopsida, Caryophyllales, Amaranthaceae. The record is from RefSeq and is a predicted model, not a curated record.
UCUUAUAUUAAAAAACAUUUUUUUUACGGUGUUUAAAAUUAAAAUCUUCAAAAAUUAAUUAUAAUUUAUAUUGAUAAAGUAUUCAAUCAUUGUGAAAUUUUCAGUUUUAUUAUUGCAGAAUUUCAUUUUUUUUUCUUUGACCAAAAAUUACAAUUAAAUAUGGAGUAUGUGAAUCAAAAAGAUAAAACCUAUUUUCUCCAAAAAUGGAAAGACGAAAACAAGAACAAGCUCUAUCCCUCUUUUUUUUUUUUUUUCUUUCCUCCAGAUUCCACUCACGAUUAUUUGCUCAGAAGCUGGUCAAUUCUUCAAUUUCCUUUACUCAAAAUUACAAAAUUUAUUCUGCUUAAUUAUAUCAUCAUAAAUUGCGAUGAUUUUAACAUAUUUAUCGAUUCAUUGGCUGGCUAAUUGCUAUAAUUUCCGAAUAUUAAUAUCAUACUCAUUAUAAUUUGUUUAUCCUUAGGUUUGAUUUCAAAUGCUGGGCAAUUUGGAUUUUUCCCUUCUAUCCCCGAUAACCCUAAUUUUCAAUUGGGAAGCUACUUGAUGAUUGGGCAUGAGGCGAUACGCUGAUAGCCUGAUACAUCAGGUAAAAGGGACAUUUUUGGAUCUCAGGGUAUAAUACUCCUUUUCAUGCUUCAGUUUCGUGGUUCCUUGCUAUGAAUUCUCUUUAACCUUUUAUGUAUAUGCAACUGUAUCAGACCCACUACCUGGUGAAAAUUUGAGCAGCCAAUCCUGUCGGGUCUUCAUGGUCUCGCAUUGCAGCUAUCGCCUUUUUGAUAAAGAUACGGCAUUCCAGUCAUAUGAAGAAUUACAUUAUUACCCAUUUGCUUCUGUUCUUCUCCCUGGUUUUAACUGGAAAGUUGUUGGAACACCCCAGUUGCAGAAUUGGAUUUUCUGAUAGAAAAUAACUGUUGUUUUCAAUGGAAAGAUGACAUAGAUAGUAAAAGAAUUAGUCAGACGACAACGGAGGAUUUUUUUUUUUUUUUUUUUUUUUUUUUUU